GCUGGGUUGAUUAGUGGCGAACGGGUGAGUAACACGUGAGUAACCUGCCCCUGACUCUGGGAUAAGCGUUGGAAACGACGUCUAAUACUGGAUAUGAUCGCCGGCCGCAUGGUCUGGUGGUGGAAAGAUUUUUUGGUUGGGGAUGGACUCGCGGCCUAUCAGCUUGUUGGUGAGGUAAUGGCUCACCAAGGCGACGACGGGUAGCCGGCCUGAGAGGGUGACCGGCCACACUGGGACUGAGACACGGCCCAGACUCCUACGGGAGGCAGCAGUGGGGAAUAUUGCACAAUGGGCGAAAGCCUGAUGCAGCAACGCCGCGUGAGGGAUGACGGCCUUCGGGUUGUAAACCUCUUUUAGUAGGGAAGAAGCGAAAGUGACGGUACCUGCAGAAAAAGCACCGGCUAACUACGUGCC
This 414-nucleotide ribosomal RNA is filed under the name Curtobacterium sp. R11.18. RNAcentral's name for it is "bacterial SSU rRNA". It matches the Rfam family "Bacterial small subunit ribosomal RNA", at positions 82 to 509 of the family's 1533-position model. The record is from RNAcentral. Lineage: Bacteria; Bacillati; Actinomycetota; Actinomycetes; Micrococcales; Microbacteriaceae.